GUGAGGAAUUUUCCGCAAUGGGCGAAAGCCUGACGGAGCAAUGCCGCGUGAAGGAUGAAGGCCUAUGGGUUGUAAACUUCUUUUCUCAGAAAAGAAUUAUGACGGUAUCUGAGGAAUAAGCAUUGGCUAACUCUGUGCCAGCAGCCGCGGUAAGACAGAGGAUGCAAGCGUUAUCCGGAAUGAUUGGGCGUAAAGCGUCUGUAGGUUGUUUAAAAAGUAUUCUGUCAAAGAUUAGGGCUUAACCCUAGAUAGGCAGAAUAAACUUUUAAGCUAGAGUUUGGUAGAGGCAGAGGGAAUUCCCGGUGGAGCGGUGAAAUGCGUAGAUAUCGGGAGGAACACCAAAGGCGAAGGCACUCUGCUGGGCCAAUACUAACACUGAGAGACGAAAGCGAGGGGAGCAAAUGGGAUUAGAUACCCGAGUAGUCC
This 426-nucleotide ribosomal RNA is filed under the name uncultured bacterium. RNAcentral's name for it is "partial 16S ribosomal RNA". It matches the Rfam family "Bacterial small subunit ribosomal RNA", at positions 354 to 796 of the family's 1533-position model. The record is from RNAcentral.